GCACUAGAGGUCUCAGGUGUUGACUUACUGUGACUCUUAGGCAGACCAGCCCAUCCACGGGCUUCCCUCCCCAUGCAUGUAGUUUUGGGGGGUGGGGGACUGGCUGCAGAAAGCCCUUUGAACUCUGGUCCUCAGUGGGUACUAAGGUCCUUUGGGGAAGCUGAGCUAUAGACCAUCUACUUCCUGUUUCCUGCUCAGAAUGAGGGACUGCAGGCCCAGUCAGCCAGAGCUUGCUGCCCCUGUAUGAAAGUCCUGUCUCCACUCAUGCUGCUCCAAGCCCCCAGCUGUCUGAGAAAUCAGCGUCAGGUGACCAAGAUGCUCCAAGCCCAGAGCCCUAGCCAUAAGGAAUGCAGUUCUCCUGCUCCAAAAAGAGACAACUAUUCUUGGCAGCAUAGCCUCAGUUUCCUUCCCCUCGGGGCAUCUUUCAUCCCCAGGCCCUGCCGUGGAGCUCCAGACGGAGCAAGUGUCCCCAUGAAGGUGCCUUCCUGUAGGACAGUGGCCACUCCUGAGCCAGAUCCCACAGCAGAGACCUCCACACUCAUUACAGGCAGCUGAACCAUGCGAGUGAGGACCUGCUGUCUUUGGCAUUCUGAAUUCUUUCUCCUUUUCUUUUUCCUGCCUCAGUUUGGUCUUGCUAACAGAAUCUACCCUUAGACUCACAGACGUCCCCAACCUACUUCUUCCCCCUCUGCUCUCUUUGUCCCAUUCUAUCCAUCCUGUGGCAUCGUCCUGUGCACUGCUUGGGGUAUGGGUGAGGUAGGGAGGGGUGCUCUGGGCUGUUCUGUCUUCGCCUCCUACCCCUCCCUUUUAACCUCCAUCAUCUCUGUAUAGAUCCAUAGACAUUUUCAAAGUGGAUUAAACAUCUGUCCCUAUCAAUCAGCACCACCACGGGACCUGCCAGGGGCCCGCACAGCACCCUGGAGAAAGCAAAAGCCAAUAAAUUUGUUUCCCACA
Molecule: long non-coding RNA, 954 nt
Filed under: Rattus norvegicus (Norway rat)
Lineage: Eukaryota; Metazoa; Chordata; Mammalia; Rodentia; Muridae
Description: long non-coding RNA NONRATT019105
Source: RNAcentral